RNAcentral lists this long non-coding RNA (18957 nucleotides) under Lynx pardinus (Iberian lynx). The stretch from base 13439 to 13530 matches the Rfam family "tRNA". The record is from RNAcentral. Lineage: Eukaryota; Metazoa; Chordata; Mammalia; Carnivora; Felidae.
GCCCAGAUGCUGAGCUGGAUCUCCAACGGAGCGUGCAGGCCGUGCUCCGGGAGCUCGGCGCCCAGGCCCCGUCCCUGCAGAGCAACCAAGGUAAAAGCCAGCAGGCAGCCUCUGCCACGAUCUCUCCCAACCACCUUCCCAACCCCCCCCGGCGAACCAAAUUCCCCUCGACCCUCUGCGCCCGCCAGACUCCCAGAAACGCGGCCCCGGGCGCAGACCUACAAACAUCGCCGGUCCCUAAGCCACAGGCAUACACCUGUGUCCCCCUAGUGUCCCUCUGCCUGCCUUUCCGCCCUGAGAGGCCCCUGUCCUCAAAAAUCAGCAGAGCAGAAUUCCACGGGUGAGAAGUCCAGCCAUGUGGCCCCAGGGCCAGAUGCCCAGCUGAGGGGUCAGACUCGUGGUUGGUCAGAGUCACGGUCUGGGGCUCCAGGGCGCAGGGUCCCGCUCCGGGGGUCCCCCGCUAAGAGCCCCCUGCCCCACCUACGUGUGCCGGGCUCCCCUUUCUCCCGGCCAGGCAUGUGGAGAUGGUCCCUGCAUAAGAAGGUGGAGCGAGAUCCUGGAAAGAGUCCGGCUCUGGUCCGCAUUCUGCUCAGAGAACUGGAGAAGGUGGGUUCUGGGCUUCGGGGAGGCGGGCGGGGGUAGGAGAGAGGGAGAGGGAGAGAGAGACCCAGCCAGCCGCGGCCUCGGGGCCAUCAGAGCCGCGUCCCCCAGACUCCGGUCACUUGUGGGCUGUCAGCAUGAUGUUUGCCAGCCGUGUCUCCCUCCUGCACGCUUCUGUCAGUGAGAUUUUCUUGAUCCUGACUCUCUUUACUUCACUUGACUUAGCCCGUUCCCCCAGGACCAUAAAUGGAAAAGCCCCCACUGGCAGAGAGACAGAAUACCGAUAAACAUAAGUGCCUAUUUCUUAUGACCUUUUCUUUUUUUUUUUUUUUGACGUGAUUUUUUAUUAACACUGAAUAAAAAAAUAAUAUCCACUCUGGCUGUCUCCUGCAUUGCAAGGGGAAGAGUGGGGGGAGGGCCUGGCACUUCCCGCCCCCGCCCCCCAGGCGCAGGGCAAGCCCCGCCUCCGGGGCUCCCCUGCUUCCCUUAGGGUGACGUUUUCAAAAUCGUUCUUGGACCGCCGAAAGUGACCCUCCACACCACCCCAUGCCCCCUCCCCCGGGCCCCCAGACCAGUAAAUGCCCUGCGAUUCUCCUGUUUUCCAGGCAGAGAGCGAAGACAUCCGGCAUGCGAUCAUUCCCUUGCUGCACACGCUAAUGUAUGUGCUCACUAAGGUGAGCGUGACGCCGAGGGUCAGGGCGGUCGUGGCAACCCACACGUGGCAGGGCCAGACACUGUCCUCUCCCGCAGGAGACACGCAGUCUCUGCCUGGGCGCGCCUAGGAGAGCUCUUGGGUGGCCUGCCCCAAACCGUCUUCUCCACACUCGCGGUGCCCUGCCCCUAAUACACAAAGCGGGCUACUGGGGAGGAAGUUGGGAAAGCGGUGCGAGCGGGAGGCAUGAGAGCCUCGAAUGCCGGAAUGGGGUCCUCGGGAUUGCUCCCAUGCGCCCCGGGGGCCAUCACUGAUGCCUGCUUAGGAAAGGCACGAGCCACGGAGAAAAUGUCUCGACAGCGGCGAUCAGGAGCUGUGUACGAUCGCGGGGGGUGGGAGAGGGCAGCGAGGGAGAUGAGGGGCACAGAGAACAGUUCGGGGGCUGCCGGGAUCCGGGGGCAGGAGGGGGCUGGGCUCGGGCCAAGGCAGAAGGCGCAGGAGGAAGCGGACCCCGUGGCCACCGCACUGGGAGCGUCAUGCCUGCGGGAUAUCGCGCCCAGCAGGCUGGAGACGAGACUCCAGGUUUUCAGCCUAGAGCCCCGCAGGAAUGCGCUGCCCGGACAAGCGGAGGGGAGGGGAGGGGAGUGGAUUUGCUAGCAGGACAGGGUGAGACGGAUCCCCUUUGGGGCGAGUUUGAGUGGGGUGUCCGAGAGGUGUCUUUCAGGUGCCGGGCGAAGAGACUAGGGGUGUACGUUUGGGAGGGAGGUGUGAGCCCAGGUCUGGCUGUCAGACCUGCCUUUCCUCCUCUCCACCCCACCCUCCCACCCACCCAGCACCCUUUGUGACCUAGGGCUCUGGGCACCCAACUCCUCCCUCCCACCCAGGCCACGGGCAUCACGGAGGAGCUCUACCGGAGAACCUACACCUUUUGCACAAGGUUGCUAACCCUGCCCGCCCCCUACUGCACGGUCGCCUUGGACUGCGCCAUAAGGCUGAAAACCGAGACCGCUGUCCCAGGUGAGAGCUGUCCCAGGUAGGAGCUGUCCCAGGUAGGACCUGUCCCAGGUGAGGUCUGUCCCAGGUGAGAGCUGUCCCAGGUGAGACCUGUCCCAGGUAGGACCUGUCCCAGGUGAGGUCUGUCCCAGGUGAGAGCUGUCCCAGGUAGGAGCUGUCCCAGGUAGGACCUGUCCCAGGUAGGAGCUGUCCCAUGUGAGAACUGUCCCAGGUAGGACCUGUCCCAGGUGAUACCUGUCCCAGGUAGGAGCUGUCCCAGGUGAGGUCUGUCCCAGGUAGGACCUGUCCCAGGUGAGGUCUGUCCCAGGUGAUACCUGUCCCAGGUAGGAGCUGUCCCAGGUGAGAACUGUCCCAGGUAGGAGCUGUCCCAGGUAGGACCUGUCCCAGGUGAGACCUGUCCCAGGUAGGAGCUGUCCCAGGUGAGGUCUGUCCCAGGUAGGACCUGUCCCAGGUGAGGUCUGUCCCAGGUGAUACCUGUCCCAGGUAGGAGCUGUCCCAGGUGAGACCUGUCCCAGGUAGGAACUGUCCCAGGUGAGACCUGUCCCAGGUAGGACCUGUCCCAGGUGAGGUCUGUCCCAGGUGAUACCUGUCCCAGGUAGGAGCUGUCCCAGGUGAGACCUGUCCCAGGUAGGAGCUGUCCCAGGUGAGGUCUGUCCCAGGUAGGACCUGUCCCAGGUGAGGUCUGUCCCAGGUGAUACCUGUCCCAGGUAGGAGCUGUCCCAGGUGAGACCUGUCCCAGGUAGGAACUGUCCCAGGUGAGAACUGUCCCAGGUAGGAACUGUCCCAGGUGAGACCUGUCCCAGGUAGGAGCUGUCCCAGGUAGGACCUGUCUCAGGUGAGACCUGUCCCAGGUAGGACCUGUCUCAGGUGAGACCUGUCCCAGGUAGGAGCUGUCCCAGGUAGGACCUGUCCCAGGUGAGACCUGUCCCAGGUGAGACCUGUCCCAGGUAGGAGCUGUCCCAGGUGAGACCUGUCCCAGGUAGGACCUGUCCCAGGUGAGAACUGUCUCAGGUAGGAGCUGUCCCAGGUGAGACCUGUCCCAGGUGAGACCUGUCCCAGGUAGGCGCUGUCCCAGGUGAGACCUGUCCCAGGUAGGCGCUGUCCCAGGUAGGACCUGUCCCAGGUGAGACCUGUCCCAGGUAGGCGCUGUCCCAGGUAGGAGCUCUCCCAGGUGAGACCUGUCCCAGGUAGGAGCUGUCCCAGGUAGGACCUGUCUCAGGUGAGACCUGUCCCAGGUAGGAGCUGUCCCAGGUAGGACCUGUCCCAGGUGAGACCUGUCCCAGGUGAGACCUGUCCCAGGUAGGAGCUGUCCCAGGUGAGACCUGUCCCAGGUAGGAGCUCUCCCAGGUGAGACCUGUCCCAGGUGAGAGCCGGCUCAGGUAAGAGCUGCAGUGCAGCUACAUCCACGGUCUUGCUUUUCCUCCGAGGUUCCUGGAGCUCAAAAGUCCCAGCACCUUCUGUGGAGGGUGCGAAAUGGGGGUCAGAGACCAGAAGCCGGUUGGCUGAUGCGGUCUGCUUUGCAGGGACACUGUACCAAAGGCUGGUCAUUGCCGAGCAGAACCUGACGAGUGAGCUGUACCCCUACCGGGAGAGGUGAGUGACCCCUGGCAGCAUGCUGGCUUCCGCCCCCUCCAGGUGUUGGGACGCCAUGACUGCUCACUGAGGGGGACAAGGCUGGGUGGAGAGGAACCCCAGCAGAGUUUCCUGUCCAUGGCAUUUGUCCCGGGGGGAGUGUAUUUGCAAGGGUGGGCGGGGCCUGCCUUCUCUGGAGAUCACAGGAAGCAGGGUGGUGGGUCUGUCCUCUGGGGCUGGCUCAGAGCCCUCCCGCUCACAUGCAGAAGGUGACACGAGCACUGGGCCAGCCUGGAGUUCUGUCGUUCCACCUCCGUCCCGCCCUUGGCCAUGAUGCAGCAUCAGCCGGCCAGCCAGCUGGCCAGAGGUGGCUCCCGGCUGCUUACGGUCCAGGCCACAGUCACACCGUGAAAUCUGGGGCUUUCGUCUGUGCCUGGCCCUUCGGAUAAGAUUGAGGAAAUGUCUGCUGUUGGUGUGGGGAAGAGGGGCCGGUCAAGUUGGGGGUGCCGCUGCUGACCCGGCCCUGGAAGGUGUGGCUUGAGGCUGUGUUCAUGGGGGGUGCAGGGAGGUGAGGUGGAGAGACCCAGAGGAGCCGGGAGCCAGGAAGGAGAGCAGGGGCGGGAGGGAGAGCCAGGCGCUGGCAUGAUAGGGUGAUGGGAGGAGGCAGGGCUCACUCAGGGUCCAGAGUCCGCUUGGGCAGGAAGGAAUUAGGGUCCCUCCUGGAGGGCGAUGUCAUCAGUGGACCACAGAGCUGAGGGGGUGGGGGACAGGAUUUAGCUUGGGACUUGCCUGGACGCGAGACUAGGGGGCACCAACGGGGGCCAGCUGUUCCUGCCUGCUCUCUGAUUUGCCACAGUCCCCACUCCUCCCUAUUGCUGUCCCCCCCGAGACUUCUUUUUUAAGUUUAUUUAUUUUUGAGAGAGGGCAGCGCAGAGAGAGAGGGAGAGAGAGAAUCCCAAGCCGUGAGCGCAGAGCCCGAGGCGGGGCGCCACCCCACCAACCGCGAGAUCAUGACCUGAGCCGACAUCAAGAGUCUGACCCUCAACCGACUGAGCCAUCCAGGCGCCCCAACCCCCAUAGACUUUGGAAUCCGAGGCUCCUGUUUUUGGAGGAACAAAAUACUCGGGGGCUGCAGGGCUCCACGCUGCCCUUCCAGGCGCUCUCCCCGCCGCAGCCAUCCUCUGCAGCAACCCCCCCCCCCCCACCUCUGCCCUCAGAGCAUUCCUCUUCGUGGACCCCGAGCUGGUGUCCCCGUCCGUGUGCGGCGCGCUGCUGCUGGAGCUCGAGGCGGCGCAGGCGCAGCAGACGCCCGAGGCCUGCAUGCGCCACGUGGUCGCCCACGCCCUGCAGGCCGCCCUGGGGGACGCCUGCCACGCAGGCGCUCUGCAGAGGAAGCUGCAGGUAACCGCCCCGCCCCAGCCCUCCUUGGCUGCGCCCGGGGCCCUGCACGCACACGCCAGCCCUCCUCCCCAUCUGCUCUCCUUCUCCCCGGUUCAGACCACCCUUGCCCCCUCAAUGCCGAAGGAGUACGCACUCGUUAAGGAAAAUCCGGGGCGGGAAUGCACGCAGGCCAAAAGAGGAAAGAAAAAUCGCUCACACCCGCGCACCCAGAUGUAUUCCCAAUCGACGUUUUGGUCUGUUUCCUUAAUAAUACAGACGACGAUAACCCGGACAGGUGCUGUCGACUGAAUGUCUGUGGUGUCCCAGGCACGGCGUUAGACACUUUUUACAUGUAUCACAUUUAAAAAAGGCUCACCACGUGUCGACAACAUUGUGAAAUGGGUAUAAUCAUUAAAACUGGGGCACAGAGAGGUUGAUAACCUGCCCGUGGUCACACAGGUACAAAGUGACUGGGUCAGGAUUUGAACCCAGGUCUCUCCGACCUCAAACUUAUGUUCCAUCGCCUCCCGGCCCCACAGCCCCACCACCCUUUUUUAGCAGGAGAUACCAAACUCUGUAUACAGUUGUCCCAAAUUGGGGUGAGAGGCCGGGCCUCAGUACUCCCGCACCUAUUAAUUAUUGGACGUGGACGGUCCUCAGGAAGGGACAUGACCGUGGAGAGUGGCAUUUUUUUUUUUUUGCCGGAGGCUGACUAUGGAAAGGGACUCAGCUGACAGCUGACGGUUGCUAAUGCUCCCAGCAGCGGGGCUAAUGAGUGCCUCAGUCUUGAAGGUGGGAAUCCGGGGAGCCACCAUGGCAUUUAUCACACUGUUGCACAUGGAAUCAAAGCCAAAGACAUCUCAAUGGCCUACAAGACCCUCGAGAUCUGUCCUACCUCCUCGCUUCCUCUCUGAUUCCAUCUGAUUCCAUCUUCUGUAGUUUCCCUCUCUUCCUCUCUGCUCCAGCUACAUAGGUCUCCCUAUUGUCCCUCAAACAUGCCAGGCAUGCUUACACCCCAGGGCCUUUGCACAUGCCGUUUCCGAUGCUUGGAACAUUCUCUCAGAUAUCCACACGGCUCGCUCUCUCACUUCCUUUAGGACUUUACUCAAAAGUCACCUGUCGGUGAGACCUCCCUGAUCACAUUAUCUAAAAUGUCAGCCCCUGCCCCCAAUUUCACAUCCUUCUACUCUGCAAUUUAUCGUAUUAUAAAUUUUACUUCUCUUGUUUAUUAUCAUGGGGGGGGUGGAGAGAGAGAGACAUACACUAUAAUAUAAACUCCCUGGGAACAGGAAUUUUUAUCCAUUUUGUUCACAGCUGUAUCCCAGCAUCUAGAACAGGGUCCGUUUUGUUCACAGCUGUAUCCCAGCAUCUAGAACAGGGUCUGGCAUGUCGUGGGUGCUCAAUAAAUAUUAGUGUAUUUAUAAAUUGAGCAACGAGAUGAAAUGGACCCGAUGGCCCCUUCUAACUCUGAUUCGGUCAUCUUCUCGUUGCAUUAUCUGUUCGCUCCACAAGUGUUUAUCGGGGCCCUAGCCACCCAGAAUGACCCUCCCUCCCUUAAGCAGGAAGUUAGGAUCCCGCUCAGCAGACCCCCCCCCCCCCCCAGCACAGACCAGAGAGGAAAACAAGCCCUGGUGUGCAGACAACAUAAUGCAGGGCUCUUCUCAGGGUUUCGGAUCUGCACCACGGGAGGGAGGAGCUGAAGAGCAUGGGAUUGCCCAGUGAGAAGCUUUCAAAACCUGUUCCCAUCCAUUCCCAUUAAGGAGAAAGGCUCAGCUUGGUGUUCUACCCCUAACUUCUUUAACAGUCCCUUCCCUUUUUCUUUUUUUUAAGUUUAUUUAUUUUUGAGAGGGAGAGAGAGAGACAGAGAGACAGAGUGUGAGCAGGGGAGGGGCAGAGAGAGAGGGAGACACAGAAUUGGAAGCAGGCUCCAGGCUCUGAGCUGUCAGCACAGAGCCCGACGCGGGGCUCGAACCCACAAGCCGCGAGAUCAUGACCUGAGCUGAAGUCGGAGGCUUAAACCGACUGAGCCCCCCGGGCGCCCCUAACUUCUCUUUUUAAAAAGAGAAGGCAAGCUUCCAGCCAUAAAGCCUUGGCAGGCUGGCGCUUAAAAAUAGGGGUUUGUGAUGAUUAUAUUCAUCUUGGUUAUUUUUCUAAGUGGGACGUGUGACUCUAGCCUUUUUAUAUAGAUUACCAACAUAAAUUGUCCUUCUGAAAUAGCUGGGAACCAAAGUGAGCUGAUUGAAAGAACAAGGGCGAGAAAAUAAUCAUACAGCAACUAUUUAGGGAGCACCCCCCACGCGCCAGGGCGUGUUCUAGGCGCUGCGGAUGCCGCUGUAAACAGACUGCCUUCCUGGAGUUUACAUCCAGGCGGGGGCAGAAGACUGACCCAAGGGAGGCCCUCCCUGCCCCUCUGGGGUCCCGCCGUUGCGGGGCAGCCCCGUGUGGGGGACAGAGAGGACGCUCAGGUGUGGGCAGCAUCGGGCAACCUCGGAGCCCGGGGGGGUGGGGGGGGUGGGGGGGGGAGGCUGGGCCGGGACCCAGGCUCUGGCGCCCCUCCCCGACAGGCCAGCCCUCGCCAGGCCCUGGAGCGCUAUUUCCACGCCGUGGUGGCAGCCGUGGAGCAGAUGGCCAGCGAGCCCAGCCCGAGCCGGGAGGGACACCUGGAGAGGCUGGAGGAGAUUUACUGCUCGCUGCUGGGGCCGGAGGCGGCCGCNGGCCGCCAGGGGGCGCUGCGGCGGUAAGCGGGCGGGGGCGGCGAGGCCCGGCGAGGGCCCGCAGGGGGGCGCCGGAGAGCAGCGCUGCACCCGCCGCGCGUGGCUGAGGCGGGCGGGCCUGGGGACCGAGGGCCGCCCGGGGAACUUGGACGGUCCCGGGCUAAGCAGGCAGAGAGGAAGCCUGGACGGGACCAUAUGGGGGAGAGAGGGUCUCUGCACGCCCCCCGCGCCCUCCAGGAGCCGCAGGGGAGGGCAGAGGAGAAUCCCACAGCCCGCCCCCCCCCNNCCCCCCCCUUCUUUCAGGCGACCCCCUGCAGUCCCCGCAGCCAAACAUCCCUCUGCCCAGCCCCCACAUCACCUUCCACCUGUGGACGGAUGAAGAACAGCUCUGUAAGUGCCUCACACCUCCUCCCUGCAGAGCUGAAGGGAAAUGAGUGUGUGCGUGUGUUUCUCACUGUGUGCGUGUGCAUGCGCGUGUCUGUGUUUGUGUGUGUGCGUGCAACUGUGCCUUCGUGGGCCUAUAGGUCUGUGUCUGCGUGACUGCGUGUAUCACGUGUGUGUAUCUAUUUAUGUCCUUGCGUAUGUGUGUGCACAUCUGUGUGUGUGUGUGUGCGCCUUGCUCCCUGAGCUGUUCUGCACGUCUGGAGCAACGCAUUUUCUCUAUGCUAGAAGAGCUCGGUGCCUUAGCCACUGGCCUCACCUAGAAAGGGCCACAUGCCCAAGCUGAUGCCGACAGACAAUGAAUGUCCCCAAGAAGGAGGCGGUCACACAGAAGUUACAGUUCCAGGAACUGGAGGGGUCUUUCCAGAGAGAUCUGCUUGCCUCACACUUCUGUCCACACUGGCCUUCCCCUCACACUGUCCCUGGCUCUUCUCAAGAGAGGUGGGGGUCGGUGGUGGGGGUUGGGGGAAGUGCUGGCUGGUGAACUAGGCCCAAGUCCCUCCUUGCACGGGCUGGGUCAUCCUAGACUGCCUCUGUGUUCUCGCUGGGCCUCAGUUUCCUCGUGGGUAAUAAAAUGAAAGUAGAUUAGAAAAGCCUAGGGGCACCUGCGUGGCUCAGCGGUUAAGCGUCAGACUUCAGCUCAGAGCAUGAUCUCACCGUUUGUGAGUUCGAGCCCCGCGUGGGGCUCUGUGCUGACAGCUCAGAGCCUGGAGCCUGCUUCGGAUUCUGUGUCUCCCUCUCUCUCUUCCCCUCCCCUGCUCAUGCUCUGUCUCUCUCUCUGUGUCAAAAAUAAACAUUAAAAAAAAUAAUAAAAAUAAGAAAACAUUUCUCAAAAGAAGGAAAGAAAGAAAGAAAAGCCUAGAAGUCUUUCCUGGAGUAGGCAGGGUCUGCUCUCUGUGUCCCAGGGGAAGCCACAGACAAGAAGAGGAUAGGAGGAAGCUAAUAAAGAGGGCUCCAGAGUCAGCGAAGGGGAAGGUACCGAGUGUUGCUGACUACUGCAGGACUUCUCAGAGCCUUGAGUACAUGUACUCAACACGAGGUGUCAGGAAUAUGCGGGCUUCGCCAUCUCUGUUCACCGCAGGACCUUUGUUCCUUCGCGGGGCAUCUUAUGGGGCUUCUGUCCAGCUGAACGGUGUUUGAGAAACACGGGAGCCCAGGCCUUGCAGGGGUGAGGCCCUGCCAGCCUCCUCUGACCUCUCUCCUCCCCGCUCCCCGCAUCCCAGGGAAGGAACUGGUGCUCUUCCUGCGCCCGCGAUCCCAGCUGUGCCUCAGCGCCGACUUGGAGGCCUUGGAUCUGCAGGGCCUCUGGCCGGACCGGGAGCUGGCCCGGGUGUCCAUGCUGUCCACAGACAGCGGCAUCGAGCGGGACCUUCCUCCGGGGGCUGACGAGCUGCCCCUACCCGGCAGCCCCGAGAUGGAGCGCGCCAGGCUGCAGCGCAAAGGCGGCGUCAAGAAGCGGGUGCGGCUCCCGGACGUCUUGAUGCCCGCGUGCUGGGACGGGCCCCCGGGUCUACACCGCAGGACGGGCAGGCCCAGUGGGGACGGGGAGCUACUGCCUGGUGUGUCGCGGCUUCACACGGCCAGGGUGCUGGUGCUGGGGGACGACAGGAUGCUGGGGCGCCUGGCCCAGGCCUACCACAGCCUCAGGUAGGGCCCGGAGGGGGGCGGGGCGGGGCGGGGCGGGGCGGGGGGCGGGGCUGCGUCAGACCCAGCUCGCCGCCGCCGCCAGGGGGCACUGCGCUCACCAGCUCGGCGCUGUACGUUCUGGCGAGCCCGGCAGUCCUCGUCAGUACACCGCGCCCAUUCUGCAGAUGAGAAAACGGGUGCCGAGAGAUUGAGUAGGUCGCUCACAGGCAAGAGAGAAUACAGAGCAGAACCAGGAUGUGGAACCGUUGGAAGCGCAAACCCCUGCCCUGACGCCUGUGUUCCGCCCUCUUUGCUAGGAAACGAGAGACCCAGAAGUGCUGCCUCACCCCCAGGCUCAGUCUACAGCUGUACUACAUCCCCGUGCUGGCACCCGAGGUGGCUGGGCAGGGGAGGGGGGAGGCACGUCGGGGAGGACGUGGGAGGGGCGUCCCCUGCCUCAGGGGCUGGGCAGGGGGCACGCUUUAGCCCCAUCCCUGGCCCCAGGGACUCGGAUCACCCUUCCUUAGGAUGCGGGGCUGGGGGAGCCCUUUGAUCUGUUGGGGGCCAGACUCGCCUUGGCGGCUUUUCAAUUAUUCGAUUGCCCCGCUCUGCUUGCUUAGUGGGGAGCAUUCAAUUCCAAGCAGUAUUUGUCUCUCUACUUCCAAGGCUGAAGAUCGUCGUUCAAUGUCCCCAGCAAGCGGUCCUCAGUUAAGGGUUUACCAGCUUCAUCUGAGGUAUAAGACCUAAUAGGCUUCACGUGGCAGAGAAAGCGAGGCCCCAAGAGGUUCAGUGAUCGGACCGUAAUCCCAAGGCCAGUUUGCGGAGGGGACCCUCUGGCCAGAGACCCGGCCUGAUGGGUCUGCCCCGUCCCCUUGUCCCCAGAAACAGGCAUCAUGCAGACACUCGGAGCUCAGAGAGCUGGCCACAUUCCUGGGCCGCGCAGACCCGUGGUACGAGAGCACCGUGAACACACUGUGCCCGGCCAUCCACAAGCUGGCAGAGAUGGUAAGGGGGCAGCGAGGGCGGGAGGGGGGGCAUUUCAGAUGUUACCCUUGACCCUUGACCUCAAGGGUCAACCCCAGGGCGCCCCCCCCCCCCGGGGGUGGGAUGAGGCCAGAAGGAAAAAUGGAAGCUGGUGGUCGAAAUUCCCCCAGGCACCUGCUUUGGGUGGAACACCGGGGAGACCAUCGAGCAAAACAUUCUUUCCUUAGUGUGUAGGCCAAGGUGCUUCCUGGGACGGCCUCUCCAUGAGUGUAAUAGCCCGUGUUUCCUGAGCACUUACGGGUGCCAGGCGCUGUUCAAGGGCACUCGCACUCCACGGCCCUAUCAAGUAGGCACUCUUGUCGGCAGGUGCGAGUGUAGCCAUCUCCCCACUUUACAGACCACACUACUGAGGCGCGAGAUUAGGGAACUUGUCCAAAGUAAAAAGGCGAGAGGUGGACUCCCACCCGGAACCGGACAGCUUGAUUCCAGGUAGGCGGCUCGUGAGUUCAUCUUCCAGUGACUUGAAAAGAUCUUCAUAUAUUAAGAGAAUCUCUUUUUUGUUUUUUCAAGUAAACUCCACCCCACCCCCCAAUGUGGGGCUCGAACUCACAACCCUGAGAUUAAGGGUCGCUGGCUCUACGCGCUGAGUGAGCCAGGCAGGUGCCCCUACUACUAAGAGAAUCUUAACCUUUUAGCCGUCAGGUGUUGCCGAUGUUUUUUUCCACUGUUAUUUGCCUGCGAAUUUCAUCAGCAGUGUUUUCUGACUUACAGAAAUUUGAUAUAUUUUUUCUUUACUUAUUUUUUUAAUGUUUAUUUAUUUAUGAGAGACAGAGCAUGAGCAGGAGAGGGGCAGAGAGAGAGGGAGACACAGAGUCCAAAGCAGGCUCCAGGCUCCGAGCUGUCAGCACAGAGCCCAAUGCGGGGCUCGAACUCGCAAACCGUGAGCUAUGACCUGAGCGGAAACCAAGAGGCGGACGCUCCACCGACUGAGCCCCCCGGGCGCCCCCAGAAGUUUAAUAUUUCUAUGUCACACUCAGAACUUUUAUCCUUUGAGAGACCUGCCUUUGGAGUCCUGCUUUGAAGGUUCUCCUCUGCUGAUUAAAUUACAUCCAAGAGUAGAUAAAUAUUCCCUGAUGAUUUACUGUAACUCUUUUAAUGCCUCGGUUUUCACAUUUAAAUUAACGUGCCUGCGACUGGUUUCAGUGCUUUGUGUGAAGCAUGCGAAUGUCUUUUUUCCAAAUGUGUAGCCAGUUGUCCUAAAGCUAUUUAUAGCACAAGCCAUCUUGCCCCAUCAGUCUGAAAUGCCACUUUUCUCGUUUACUAAAUUUUUAUUCUUUCUUGUUGAUCCAUUCAUCUCCGGACACAUUAGUACUUUCAUAUUUUAAUAGCAGGCAGGAUAAACCGACUUCAUUACUCUUCUUCCGGAAAAUGUUUCAGACUAUAUCUGUUUCCAGAUAAAUAUUAGAAUUUUGUCAAGUGUUUUUUUUUUAUUUUUUUUUUAACGUUUUUAUUUAUUUUUGAGACAGAGACAGAGCAUGAACGGGGGAGGGUCAGAGAGAGAGGGAGACACAGAAUCCGAAACAGGCUCCAGGCUCCGAGCAGUCAGCACAGAGCCGAUGCGGGGCUCGAACUCACGGACCGAGAGAUCAUGACCUGAGCCGAAGUCGGACGCUCAACCAACUGAGCCACCCAGGCGCCCCUGUCAAGUUUUUUUUUUUAAUCCACCCCACUCCCCCACCACCUUGGGAUUUUGAUUGAAAUUUGGAAGAGACUUAGCCUCUUUAGCGUGUUAAGUUACUCCCUGUGGGAGCACGGGAUUUAUCUUUAUUUACAAAAGUCUUGUACGUCCCUCAGGAUAGCUACACUUUUAGCAUGUUUUUCUUGCUGAAUCUGCUCCUUACGUUUGAUGGCUUUUUUUUUUUUUUUUGUAGUUGUGGGUGGUGUCUCUUUCCCCUUAUAUUUGGGUAGCACUUGCUGUUGUAUGAAGGAGUCUAUUGAGUUUAGCUACCUUAUUUUCUUUAAGUUUUUGUUUAAUGUUUAUUUAUUUUUGAAAGAGAGUGCAAACAGGGGAGGGGCAGAGAGAGAGGGAGGCACAGAAUCUGAAGCAGGCUCCAGGCUCCGAGCCGUCAGCCCAGAGCCCGACGCGGGGCUCGAACCCACGAACCGCGAGAGCAUGACCUGAGCUGAAGUUUGACACUUAACUGACUGAGCCCCCCCCCCAAACACUCCUAGGUACCUUAUAUUCUAAGUUGACACUUUACUGAGAUCUUUGUGUCAUUUUAUUGCCUGACUGAUUGGGGUUCUUUCUUAUACCUUCUAAUAAAAAUGUGGGGGGGGGGGGGGGCCUGUUUCCUGAAUUAUUGCUUACCUGAAAAGUGUCUUUGUGCAUACACAGAAGACUGGUUAGCCGAGUACUGAAAUACCUUUUCCUCAAAACUUGGAGGCUAUCAGGGGUGCCUGGGUGGUUCAGUCGGUUGAGCAUCUGACUCUUGAUUUUGGCUCAGGUCAUGAUCUCAUGGUUUGUGGGUUCGAGCCCCGCAUCGGGCUCUGUGCUUACAGUGCAGAGCCUGCUUGGGAUAUUCUCUCUCUCUCUCUCUCUCUCUCUCUCUCUCUCUCACGCUUUCUCUCCGCCCCUGCUUUGCUCCUGCUCAUUCUAUCUCCCCCAAAAUAAAAACACUUGGGGCACCUGGGUGGCUCAGUCGGUUGAGCGUCCAACUUCAGCUCAGAUCAUGAUCUCACGGUCUGUGGGUUCGAGCCCCGCGUCGGGCUCUGUGCUGACAGCUCGGAGCCUGAAGCCUGCUUCGGAUUCUGCGUCUCCCUCUCUCUCUUCCCCUCUCCUGCUUAUGCUUUGUCUCUCUCUCUCUCUCUCAGAAAUAAAUAAACAUGAAAACAUUUUUUAAUAAAUAAAUAAGGCUUGGAGGCUGUUAGGGGAGGAACAUCUGAUGCGGGUCUCACUUCUGCUCUUUGGUUGGUACCUUUUUUCCCGCCCCCAAGCCGGGACACAUGUAGAAAUCAGGGUUCCCCCUGCUUGCUUUGCCCUAAUAAUUAGCAGUUUGUAUGGCCCCCACACUUAGUCCAAACGCAGUUUCCACAUGAAGAGACUGGAAACAGUGUGAGAGAUACAUAGAUCGAUAGACAGAUCGAUCGAUCGAUAGAUAGAUAGAUAAUGAUAUAAUACUUGAAUACGACAAGAGCUAAAGGAGGCAGCAAAUCACCUCACCUCUCGGGCCCAAGGUCACCUGGCCAGUGAACGCCUAAUCCAAACCCGGAACUCAGUUCAGCCCCUGUGAUCAUUGGCUAUGUUCUCAAGCAUCUGGUCCUUGAGCUCCUUCCCUUCCAGCUAGAGGCGCCCCCUGUGUCUUUGUGCAAAGUGGAAUGCAUCAGAGGCCCUGGGGGGCCGGGACCCUGGACAGGUAUAUUUGCCUGAGGAGUAGACAUCAGGCGGUCAGCAGGGCCUGGACUGCAUUGAGGGACCAGUUGGGUUUAGUGCCUCACAGAGGGGACACUGGAGCCUUGGAGCUUCUCCGUUCCGAAAACAGCACCUCCCACCAUAGCCCGGAGGGUGGCGGCUGAAGGCCUUCCCUGCCCCCCUCACAGCCUCCCUCCCUGGACACAUCCCGGACCGUGGACCCCUUCAUCCUCGAUGUCAUCACCUACUACCUUCGCAUGGGCACCCAACCCAUCUACUUCCAGAUCUACACAGUCAAGGUAAGUAUGGCCCUCCCCCCGCCCGCCGGGACCCCACCGCCAAAACACUCCGGCUCUGGGGAGACACGGGUUAGCAGGGCACACGUCACAGACCCACCCAGACGCUCCUGGUUGCUAACCGUGUCUUUCCAAUCUUUGGACGAAUCAGAUAAUCAUUAACUUCACAGGCAUGCGGCCUGAGCAGAAGUACAUCUUCGCGUGGAAAGAUGCUUUAGGCCUUGACCCCGCGGAGGGCUGGCGAUAGGGCUGCUGCGAAAGUUCUCCCCAGCAAUCGCUUCAUCUCAGAAAUCCUCAACGCUCACUGUCCAGUCUCUGAUCACACACUGCCGCCCCUGCGAGGCCCCCUCCCCUUCUCCCCCCCACCCCUCCGCCCCUGCGUCCUCGCUUCCCCUCUGUCUCCCCUCCCAGCAAAACCCGAGCCCAGGGCAGCGCUGAAGUGCGCCUCAGCUCUUGCUGAGCUCGGGGCCCCUGAGCACCUGCUAAAAGAUAAGCCGAAGCCCUCUGGCCGGACACGGAGGCUGUGUCCUUUCCCCGCCACAGUGGCUGUUCCCGCCUUCCCUGCUUUCCUUGAGUCCUCACUCUCAGCAAGUGGCUUGGCCACCCACUCCGCUGGGGGGAAAGUGGAGACCAUUAGGUGUCCCCAAAGCUUCUGUCCAUGCCUACGCCUGCAUGCACACCUCCCCAGCAGACAUGAAGCCCCCCACCCACCCACCAGUUCAGGCAAAACCCCAUGAUGCAUGCCCUUCCGGUCUGUUCCCGCCUCCUCCGGGACCGUCCCCCUCAACCUGAGAUUUCGGGAGGCGGCCUCUGCUGCUUCCUCUCUCGUUCCGGAUUCUCGUCCCUCUCUCUGCGUCCCGUGGUGGAAAUUUUCUUCAUGACCUUCCCCCUUUUUGACCUAAAUGAGGCAAUUAGCUCCUGUCGCUGGUUUCCAAAAGGCAAAAUGAAACAACCCGAGUCAAACAAACAGAUGGGAGUAAACCUCUCAGGCUGGUAAAGGGAGUAAACAUCUCAGCCGCGCAAAUAAAUUGAAAGGUUGGGCAUCCCGUCGCUGCCCUUUGGCCAGAGGCCCCCGGAGCAGUCCUUUGAUUGGAAAAGUGUCGGGAUGGGGCCCGCACACAGUCCUGUUUUUUCCUGUGUUUGUGACGGUGGCAGGGUCUGCUUCCUGUCUUGACCCAUCAGGGUCCCAGGGACGCCCCUCCAGCCCCAGAUUCCCAGCCCCAACCCAGAAUGGCUCAGCUCCCUCGAGCCCUUCCGUCCUGGCUGGUCUCGCCUUGCAAGUCAGGAAUGGGGUCCCCCUCUCUGGCCCUUCUGGCGUCCACAAGAGAUUUUCUCACACGGCCCCGCCCCUGUGUGAAUCGUGUGCCCCGUUCCUUCCGCGUUAGACCGUCGUGGUUGCAGACCGUCGAGGACGGCUUGGGUUCUGAUACCAGUGGCUUCCCCAUUUGUAAAUAUAUUACAUCACUGGACACCUGUGGACAGGCAGGUCCGGGAAGCCACUGCCCGGACGGUGGGGGCCCCGGCCCUGCUUCCUUCCAGAAGCUCUCCAACCGUCCACACCUCCUCCCUCCCUCCAGAUCUUCAGGGACCUGAGCCAACACCCUGCAGAGGACAUUUUUCUCACUGAGCUCAAGGUGAAGAUUCAAGACACCAAGCCCCCCAAAGGUGAGCAUCCUCCCUUCCCAGAGCUCACUGACGCAUCUCCGGCCAAGCCCUGUUUCUGGAACGUCCUCCCGCCUCUCACCUGAUGCCCCCCCCCCCAACUCCACCAAAUACCGGGGUGCCCUUGGCUCCUCCAAGCUUGCCUGGACUGGAACCCUCGAGAUGCUUCCUUUCCAUCCAAGGAGAGAUGCUGUCACCAUUCAGCAGCUCCGCUCGGCCUGGGUGAGGCGGGAGGGGCAGGAGCCUCCUACGCGAUUCAGCCUCUUCCCUCCUCCUCCCUCAGAUGGCUUUUCACCCAGGAGGAGGGGCGCAGCCGAGGGCCCAGGGGCUGAGCUCAACAUUUGCUACCAGAAGGUGAGUGGUUCGUGGGGGGCGGGGGGCUGCUCAGGAGGAGGUGGGAGGCACAGGGUUGGAAGCAGGCAUCAGGGACAGGCUGGUGGGAGCAGACAGACAGCCUUUGGAGAGUUUUGCAGGGAUGAGCAAAUUACCACGGGCCUUGCACGCAGCCGAGGAGGCCACGUGAUUUAAGGGACAAGGGGCCUGUCCUGUUGCUGGAGGAUGCCUUCCUCCCUAGCUGGCCAGAUGCUUGAACUGAUAGCAUGGGAGACGCGUCCCUUCGGGCCUGGGAGGCUGACCGUGCUCCCUGGGGCCAAGAGUGCUCUCCGCCUCUCCCCGCCAGCCCCGCCUUGGACACUGGUGACUCGGACAAGAAUCUCAGGGCAGGGGUGGGAAGCAGGACUGUUAACACGAGGGUGCCCGGGGGGACAGGGAUGUUCUGAGGACCCCCUUGGUGCCCGCAUCCCCCUCCAGGCCCUGCUCAGCCACCGGGCCCAAGAGGUCGCCGUUUCCCUGCGGGCCACUGGGCUGGUCCUGAAGACCUUUGCAGCCAGUGACACUGAAGGUAAGGAGCUGGAGAGAGAAGGCACGAGAAGGGGAUGGGCGGGGGGAGAAGGAAAAAGGGGUGAGUGACGGUAGAGGAGGUGACCCAGAGGAAUCGGGCCUCCCACCCAAUCCUGAGGUCGUGCAGGGCUGAGCACCGGGUGCCCGGGUGCGGCAUGGUAUCUGCCCUCACCUCGGGGGGACAUGCAACAGCAUUGGCCUCGGUCCUGCCCUGCAGCUGGAAGGCAGAGGGGCCACACGGAGGGGGUCCUGCCGCCCUCCUGCCUCUGUUGCGUCUGGAGAUGUUUUCUUCUGAAUGUCACUCCACCGGGGGCAGGUAAUCCCCAGUUCACCAAAGGCACCACCGGCCCAAACUCUCUAAUUUUAGCUAAUUACCUAAUAAUAGCUAUGUAUCUAAUAGAUAAUAAGAUAGUUUAUCUAACGCUCCAAAUCUAAAAUAGAGAUGUUAAAAAGAUACCAAUGUAAAUGCCGAUAGUGAAGGAUAAUCGUGAGCUGUUCCGUUAGCCCCCUGGUCUUCUGGAAGAAAGAAAAGUUCGGUGAUGUGAGUGAGGACGUCACCGAACCCAUUGAUCAGAGGCCGGGCAAUGUUCUGUGUCAAACACAUCGACUCUCCGAAUCCUGUGAGAUCGGCAUUAUUAAUACCAGCCGCUUUUUACCAGAGACGUAACUGAAGGCGGAGAAAUGCCGGAGGCCAGGUCACGUCCGUGAGGAAGGGUCAGAGCCCGGAUUCACACCCAGGCCAUCCGGGUGCUGGCUUUCAGGCAAAGGAAGCAGGGGACCCAGCAAGACCACCUUUAUUUGUGCAUCUUUUUUUUUCUUUAAUGUUUAGUUUAUUUUUGAGAAAGAGAGACAGAGUGUGAGCAGGGGAGGGGCAGAGAGAGAGGGAGACACAGAAUCCGAAGCAGGCUCCAGGCUCCGAGCCGUCAGCACAGAGCCCGAUGCCGGGCUCCAACUCAUGAACCAUGAGAUCAUGACCUGAGCUGAAGUCGGACAUUCAAGCGACUGAGCCCCCCAGGCGCCCCCCACUCGUGCACCCUUAACACCGCAAGGGAGACAUGUGACCCUGGGGAUAGCUCUUAGCCGAGAGGUGGGUCAAGAGCACAGGUUCUGGGUCGGGAUGGGGGCUGGCCUCCAGGUCCGGCUUUGCCAUUUACCAUCUGUGUGACCUUGGGCGAGUUCCUCGUGACCUCUCUACCGGUCCUUUCAUUUCUCAAGUGAAGAUGAAGUCCUCAUUCAUGUGCGUCUAGAAAACUAUCGUGUUCGCUCUAAUUGUUAAGUUGUAUUUCCCUCAUUUCCUUCACCAGCAUCCCCCCACCCGCCCACCCCCACGCUAACUUGCGCUCCUCCCAUUGAUCGCGUGCCGGGGGCUUCAGGAAGGGUCCACCGCACCUUCUUCCACGGAAAAGGGGUGCGGGAGGGGGUGCAGAAAGGCACGGGGAGGGGGCUGCCGUGACAGGGGAUACCCUGUGGGUCCCCCAGGGAAAGGCAGUGGAUGUUCAGGAAGGAACUGAAACGCGGUCGGGACCAAGGCGCAGUCAGGAAGUUGGGGGGGCCCGUUACAGCCACCUGCUUCCCAUCUUGUUCCCCCCAGUUUCUGGGCCCGCCCCCGCCCCGCCACCUGCUGUUCCCGUGACAGACCACACGUGCCUGAACGUCAGCGUGACGGAGGUCAUCAAGUCCUCCAACUUGGCGGGAAGGUCCUUCUCU